This 432-nucleotide ribosomal RNA is filed under the name uncultured bacterium. RNAcentral's name for it is "partial 16S ribosomal RNA". It matches the Rfam family "Bacterial small subunit ribosomal RNA", at positions 29 to 506 of the family's 1533-position model. The record is from RNAcentral.
AACGAACGCUGGCGGCAUGCCUAACACAUGCAAGUCGAACGAGACCUUCGGGUCUAGUGGCGCACGGGUGCGUAACGCGUGGGAACCUGCCCUUAGGUUCGGAAUAACUCCCCGAAAGGGGUGCUCAUACCGGAUAAUGUCUUCGGACCAAAGUUUUUACGCCUUUGGAUGGGCCCGCGUUGGGUUAGCUAGUUGGUAGGGUAAAAGCCUACCCAGGCGACGAUCCAAGGUUGGUCUGAGAGGAUGAACAGCCACACUGGGACUGAGACACGGCCCAGACACCUCCGGGAGGGACCAGGGGGAAGUGUUGGACAGUGGACGAAAGCUGGACCCAAAAGAGCGGCAGGAGUGAAGAAGGGCUUAGGGUGAUAAAAGUUUUUUCCCGGGAUUAGAAAGGGCCGUCCCGGGGGGAAAAGCCCCGGCUAACCCCUU